Molecule: small RNA, 30 nt
Filed under: Arabidopsis thaliana (thale cress)
Lineage: Eukaryota; Viridiplantae; Streptophyta; Magnoliopsida; Brassicales; Brassicaceae
Description: ATSL103830
Source: RNAcentral
UGAUGAGAAGAAGAAGAAGAAGAGGAAAGU